GACGGAGGGCGCAAGCGUUGUUCGGAAUUACUGGGCGUAAAGGGUUCGUAGGUGGUCAACUAAGUCAUACGUGAAAUCCCUCAGCUUAACUGGGGAACUGCGUCUGAUACUGGUAGACUUGAGUGCAGGAGAGGAACGCGGAAUUCCAGGUGUAGCGGUGAAAUGCGUAGAUAUCUGGAGGAACACCGGUGGCGAAGGCGGCGUUCUGGACUGUAACUGACACUGAGGAACGAAAGCCAGGGGAGCAAACGGG
This 253-nucleotide unclassified non-coding RNA is filed under the name uncultured Acidobacteriota bacterium. RNAcentral's name for it is "uncultured Acidobacteria bacterium contains 16S-23S intergenic spacer region". It matches the Rfam family "Bacterial small subunit ribosomal RNA", at positions 524 to 776 of the family's 1533-position model. The record is from RNAcentral. Lineage: Bacteria; Pseudomonadati; Acidobacteriota.